CCUCCUUUUCUUGGCAGGGACUGGGUGCGUGUUCCAGCUCCCCAAUAUGUACAGAGGCAGAGGGAAAGGGCGCUGGCCCCAUCAGCAUCCUGUCUUUGAUGCCAGGGGCUUCCCAUCUGCAAGUUCUAUCCUCAAGCACUGGGACACCA
Molecule: small nucleolar RNA, 149 nt
Filed under: Microcebus murinus (gray mouse lemur)
Lineage: Eukaryota; Metazoa; Chordata; Mammalia; Primates; Cheirogaleidae
Description: Small nucleolar RNA SNORA57 (ENSMICG00000042363.1)
Rfam family: Small nucleolar RNA SNORA57
About the family: U99 belongs to the H/ACA class of snoRNAs which are thought to guide the sites of modification of uridines to pseudouridines, the target for this family is unknown.
Source: Rfam by way of RNAcentral